Molecule: long non-coding RNA, 279 nt
Filed under: Nicotiana benthamiana
Lineage: Eukaryota; Viridiplantae; Streptophyta; Magnoliopsida; Solanales; Solanaceae
Description: long non-coding RNA (NBEN_LNC002458)
Source: RNAcentral
GUUGUUUGGUUACUGAUUUGAGACAGGAAAUUUUUGGGAUGGUCCAAAAAUAGGGGAAACUCUGCCCGAUUUUCUGUAAAAUACCGAUGAGCCUUACUUGGGAGCAUUUGCUUUUAAGCGUCGUUCAUAAUCCUAAAUUGGGUCGUGAUAAUUUACAACCACAAAAGUGAUAUGACAGGUUUCAGACCACAAGUUUCGAAAGUUUUACAGCCCCAUAAAUGUUAUUGCUUAUUUAAGACCACAUAUCUCAAAAAUCUUCUCUGUUUUAUUAAAGUUUGU